Long non-coding RNA from Sardina pilchardus (European sardine), 334 nucleotides. RefSeq lists it as uncharacterized. The record is from RefSeq and is a predicted model, not a curated record. The transcript has 4 exons. Lineage: Eukaryota; Metazoa; Chordata; Actinopteri; Clupeiformes; Clupeidae.
CCACCAGCGGCAGCACCAUCCGCAGCAGUAGAUCCACCUGCAGAUGUGUCAGUGUGUGGGCUAGACUGUGGUGGGCUGACACACUUGACACACCUUUUUCCAGAAGAUCUGACUGAAUUACAGGUUGAUGAUCUACUACCUCAGACUCAGUCUGAGUGUAUUGGGCAUAUAGGAGAAAGCAAGGUGUUGCGGCAGGAGAUGCAGUCGUUAUGGCUGGGCCGCCCAGUUGAAGCAACUAUAGUCAACAUGUGCUUGCAACUGGUUUGCAACAUGGGGAGGUGGAAGGGGAAGGAUGCAGCCAUUGCAUAUUCAGAUGAAUCUCUCAGCGUACCUG